This is a non-coding RNA of Acanthosepion pharaonis, 109 nucleotides long. Lineage: Eukaryota; Metazoa; Mollusca; Cephalopoda; Sepiida; Sepiidae. The record is from the annotation of a GenBank genome assembly.
UUCCGGCCACAUCAGGUUGAAACAACGGUUCCCAUACAAUCAACGAAGUUAUGCAACGUCGAGGUUGGUCAGUACCUGGAUGGGUGACCGCUUGGGAAUACCACAUGCU